ACGCUCGACACCUACGGGAGGCAGCAGUGAGGAAUAUUGGUCAAUGGGCGCUAGCCUGAACCAGCCAAGUAGCGUGAAGGAUGAAGGCUCUAUGGGUCGUAAACUUCUUUUAUAUAAGAAUAAAGUGCAGUAUGUAUACUGUUUUGUAUGUAUUAUAUGAAUAAGGAUCGGCUAACUCCGUGCCAACAGCCGCGGUAAUCUGAGCGGGCUGGCAAGGC
RNAcentral lists this ribosomal RNA (218 nucleotides) under uncultured bacterium. Its description in RNAcentral is "partial 16S ribosomal RNA". It matches the Rfam family "Bacterial small subunit ribosomal RNA", at positions 328 to 539 of the family's 1533-position model. The record is from RNAcentral.